Molecule: ribosomal RNA, 207 nt
Filed under: uncultured bacterium
Lineage: Bacteria
Description: partial 16S ribosomal RNA
Rfam family: Bacterial small subunit ribosomal RNA
Source: RNAcentral
CGCGUAGGUGGUUUGUUAAGUUGGAUGUGAAAGCCCCGGGCUCAACCUGGGAACUGCAUCCGAAACUGGCAGGCUAGAGUCUUGUAGAGGGGGGUAGAAUUCCAGGUGUAGCGGUGAAAUGCGUAGAGAUCUGGAGGAAUACCGGUGGCGAAGGCGGCCCCCUGGACAAAGACUGACGCUCAGGUGCGAAAGCGUGGGGAGCAAACA